AGUGGCGGACGGGUGAGUAACGCGUAAGAAUCUAACUUCAGGACGGGGACAACAGUUGGAAACGACUGCUAAUACCCGAUGUGCCGCAAGGUGAAACCUAAUUGGCCUGAAGAAGAGCUUGCGUCUGAUUAGCUUGUUGGUGGGGUAAAGGCCUACCAAGGCGACGAUCAGUAGCUGGUCUGAGAGGAUGAGCAGCCACACUGGUACUGAGACACGGCCCAGACUCCUACGGGAGGCAGCAGUGGGGAAUUUUCCGCAAUGGGCGAAAGCCUGACGGAGCAACGCCGCGUGAGGGAGGAAGGUCUUUGGAUUGUAAACCUCUUUUCUCAAGGAAGAAGUUCUGACGGUACUUGAGGAAUCAGCCUCGGCUAACUCCGUGCCAGCAGCCGCGGUAAUACGGGGGAGGCAAGCGUUAUCCGGAAUUAUUGGGCGUAAAGCGUCCGCAGGUGGUCAGCCAAGUCUGCCGUCAAAUCAGGUUGCUUAACGACCUAAAGGCGGUGGAAACUGGCAGACUAGAGAGCAGUAGGGGUAGCAGGAAUUCCCAGUGUAGCGGUGAAAUGCGUAGAGAUUGGGAAGAACAUCGGUGGCGAAAGCGUGCUACUGGGCUGUAUCUGACACUCAGGGACGAAAGCUAGGGGAGCGAAAGGGAUUAGAUACCCCUGUAGUCCUAGCCGUAAACGAUGGAUACUAGGCGUGGCUU
Molecule: ribosomal RNA, 700 nt
Filed under: uncultured bacterium
Lineage: Bacteria
Description: bacterial SSU rRNA
Rfam family: Bacterial small subunit ribosomal RNA
Source: RNAcentral